GUGAACGCUGGCGGUAGGCCUAACACCUGCCAGUCGAACGGCAGCACAGUAAGCGCUUGCUCUUACGGGUGGCGAGUGGCGGACGGGUGAGGAAUACAUCGGAAUCUACUUUUUCGUGGGGGAUAACGUAGGGAAACUUACGCUAAUACCGCAUACGACCUACGGGUGAAAGCAGGGGAUCUUCGGACCUUGCGCGAUUGAAUGAGCCGAUGUCGGAUUAGCUAGUUGGCGGGGUAAAGGCCCACCAAGGCGACGAUCCGUAGCUGGUCUGAGAGGAUGAUCAGCCACACUGGAACUGAGACACGGUCCAGACUCCUACGGGAGGCAGCAGUGGGGAAUAUUGGACAAUGGGCGCAAGCCUGAUCCAGCCAUACCGCGUGGGUGAAGAAGGCCUUCGGGUUGUAAAGCCCUUUUGUUGGGAAAGAAAAGCAGCAGGUUAAUACCCCGCUGUUCUGACGGUACCCAAAGAAUAAGCACCGGCUAACUUCGUG
This 491-nucleotide ribosomal RNA is filed under the name uncultured bacterium. Its description in RNAcentral is "partial 16S ribosomal RNA". It matches the Rfam family "Bacterial small subunit ribosomal RNA", at positions 29 to 507 of the family's 1533-position model. The record is from RNAcentral.